RNAcentral lists this ribosomal RNA (465 nucleotides) under uncultured bacterium. RNAcentral's name for it is "partial 16S ribosomal RNA". It matches the Rfam family "Bacterial small subunit ribosomal RNA", at positions 28 to 507 of the family's 1533-position model. The record is from RNAcentral.
GACGAACGCUGGCGGCGUGCUUAACACAUGCAAGUCGAACGGAAAGGCCCUGCUUGCAGGGUACUCGAGUGGCGAACGGGUGAGUAACACGUGGGUGAUCUGCCCUGCACUUCGGGAUAAGCCUGGGAAACUGGGUCUAAUACCGGAUAGGAGCCAUUUUUAGUGUGAUGGUUGGAAAGUUUUUUCGGUGUAGGAUGAGCUCGCGGCCUAUCAGCUUGUUGGUGGGGUAAUGGCCUACCAAGGCGGCGACGGGUAGCCGGCCUGAGAGGGUGGACGGCCACAUUGGGACUGAGAGACGGCCCAGACUCCUACGGGAGGCAUCAGUGGGGAAUAUUGCACAAUGGGCGCAAGCCUGAUGCAGCGACGCCGCGUGGGGGAUGACGGCCUUCGGGUUGUAAACUCCUUUCGCUAGGGACGAAGCUUUUUGUGACGGUACCUAGAGAAGAAGCACCGGCUAACUACGUG